CAAAUUGCAAAGAAAAGGCAGUGUCACACAGUUAACAUCUUCUUGAAGUUCUUGUAGUCAUCUCAAGCUCAUCCUCAGCCUCAGCUUAAAAUUGGGCUUUCAGGAAUGCUAUUACUAUAUGAUGAAGGGAUGACCAAUAAGAUAAUUGUUAAGGGAAACUUUCCAAUACAUAUACAAGUAUGGGCCAGUUUAUGACUUACUCAAAAUCUAUGCUGACUACCACACUUAUUACCAGUAUUUGGGUUGAGUUGGACCUAAUGAGAGACUCCAAAGUACCAUGCGGGUCUUCAUUACAGGUUACAACACAGAUGAGGAAACCUUCAACUACUUUAAUAGUUCAGAGUUCAGACACUGACUUUGAUUAAAAUGAGUUUGGAGCUGUAAAACUUGUUUUUUUUGGUCAGAUCCAGGCCAAAAGGGCCCAGACCCAAAAAAUUCCAAUCCCAGCCUAAUAAGAAAUCAACCCUGCGCCUAAGUUAGUCGAGAGUGGAGCUCCCUCCUUGCAGCAGCUUUCUCCUAGCAACUUCCAGUCACAUGAAUAAAUGGAAAUUGUGCAUAGUAUCAAAGCUCUUUGUGCUCGCCGGCAAGAACUUGAAGAACCCUCGUCAGUGUAGCAGAAACCCGUCGCCCAUCAUUGAAGCUGAACCUUAAAGAUGAAGCCUACAACAGAGCUUUUCCUUCCGAAGCCACAGCAAGGACGUCUCCGUGAACACCCUCCAGCACUCAGCAGCUCAAGUUGCGAUCUCGAUAGGUUGCCGAAGCUGUAACCGCAGCUGACCCACAUCAGGAACACCAAUCUUCGUGGCCACAUUACCUUGGGAUGCAUGCGGACCCACUGCCACAGAUCAGACAGAAUCGAAGAUGGAUUGUGACUCAAUGAAACUCAGCCUUCUUCCCUUAAUGCUACCGAUCUAUCAAGUCUUCUCUCACUCUUUGGAACAGCGUCAGAACACCCAAAUUCAAACAAGGAAGUGACAUGUCGUUCUCUCUUUUCAAAAUGUUCGCCAUGGUUUGCGGCUUGCACCCAAUCCUGUUGAAGAGAACCGCCGGCUGAAAGCUUGGCUACUUCAUGCGCUAAGGCAUUCCCGUCUCUAGGAACUCAGCUAAAGGCAAGGUGGCCGCUAUUUUAGAGUUUGAGGCUGUGAGAAGAUUUUCAGCGUGAUCUAUGAAUAAUACUGCUGCUGAGAGCUGUAAAACUUGGUUCGAUUGUUCACAUUUUUGUCACUUUAUUUGGGCCGGAGGUGAACAACUAUUCGGCCAAUAAAGUACUACUCCCAAAUCCCAAUUUGGAACCACCCGAAAGUCCACCCAAAACUCCAAAGUAGAAAGAAAAACCUUGUGUUAGAGGCUUGGUUGAGUGACACGGUGGAGAACUGGAGAUGGUAGCGCGAAGAGAGGUCAUACGGUGGACACCGUGAAGACUUGUGCCGUUACUCUUGCGGCGGCGUCUGUGUGGUCACGGUGGCUAUUUAUGGUGUGGGUAAUGGGUUGGCAGUGUGGUAACCAAGAACGAAGAACUUGUUGGCUAUGGUGUCUCAGUUUCAGCAAUCAUCGUGUGUUAUUGCUACAAAUUACCAAAAGUUUAAAUCUUUUGAAAUACCCAAAUGCUUGUUCUUCCUCAAUUUUCUCAAACAUUUUUGUUCUUCACCUGCACUUGCCUUCGAAGAACCUUGUGUUAAGAUUGAUCCUAGCUUCAAUUCGGACUCUUUCUAUGCUUCUCUUAUUGAUAAUUCAACACACAGGAACCAAUUGAAUCAGAUACAUUGCCAGUUAUAUGUCUCGGGGUUGCAGCAUAAGGGGUUUCUCAUGACAAAACUUGUUAAUGGAAGUUCAAAUAUUGGAGAAGUUUGUUAUGCACGCAAGGUGUUCGAUGAAUUUUGCCAUCCGGAUGUGUUUAUGUGGAAUGCUAUUAUUAGGAGUUAUUCGAGAAGCAACAUGUUUAGGGAGAGCCUUGAAAUGUAUAGCCGGAUGAGAUCGGCAGGGGUGCAUCCAGAUUGCUACACUUUUCCUUAUGUGCUCAAAGCUUGUACUGAGUUAUCGGAUUUCGGUUUGAGCCGGUUAGUUCAUGGUCAGGUGUUCAGAUAUGGGUUUGUUUUGGAUGUGUUUGUGCAGAAUGGCCUUUUGGCGUUGUAUGCUAAAUGUGGUCAAAUUGGUAAUGCAAGAGUAGUGUUUAAUAGGUUGUGUGAUAGAACUAUUGUUUCAUGGACUUCGAUCAUUUCUGGAUAUGCGCAGAAUGGGGAAGCUAUGGAAGCUUUGAGAUUGUUUGAUCAAAUGAGAAAAACCGAUGUGAAACCAGAUUGGAUUGCUCUGGUAAGCAUUCUGAGGGCUUAUACUGAUGUGGAUGACCUGGAGCAAGGAAGAUCUCUUCAUGGUUGUGUCAUCAAAAUGGGUCUUGAAGAUGAGCCCGAUUUGCAUAUUUCGCUUAUAGCAUUGUAUGCAAAAUGUGGUCAGGUGACAAUUGCAAGAUCUUUUUUUGAUCAAAUGGAGACGAAUAAUGUGAUUAUGUGGAAUGCAAUGAUAUCUGGUUAUGCAAAAAAUGGUCAUGCCGAGGAAGCAGUACAAUUAUUUCACGACAUGAUCAGAAGAAAUAUACGACCAGAUUCUGUCACUGUUAGAUCUGCAGUCUUAGCUUGUGCACAAGUUGGUUCCGUUGAAUUAGCACAAUGGAUGGAUGACUAUGUUACUGCGAGUAAAUAUAGAACUGACAUCUUUGUUAACACCACCCUCAUAGACAUGUAUGCAAAAUGUGGAAGUGUAGAAUUUGCUCGCAGGGUAUUCGAUCGUACAUCUGAAAAGGAUGUUGUUGUCUGGAGUGCAAUGAUUAUGGGAUAUGGAUUACACGGUCAAGGCUGGGAAGCGAUUUGUCUUUACCAAGCAAUGAAACAAGCAGGGGUUUGUCCAAAUGAUGUCACCUUUAUCGGGCUUCUCACAGCAUGCAAUCAUUCUGGCCUUGUAAAACAGGGUUGGGAGCUGUUCCAUUGCAUGAGAGACUUCGGAAUUGAGCCUCGCAAUGAGCAUUAUUCAUGUGUGGUUGACCUCUUGGGGCGCGCAGGUUAUCUAGACAGAGCUUUUGCUUUUGUCAUGACAAUGCCAAUUGAACCUGGUGUGAGUGUUUGGGGAGCACUUCUGAGUGCAUGCAAGAUCCAUCGCCAUGUAAUGAUGGGAGAAUAUGCAGCAAACAAGCUAUUCUCAUUGGAUCCUUAUAACACAGGACACUAUGUACAACUCUCUAAUCUUUAUGCUUCCUCGCGUAUGUGGGAUUGCGUUGCACGUGUUCGUGUUCUUAUGAAGGAAAAAGGGUUAAAUAAAGACCUUGGAUUCAGUUUAAUUGAAAUCAAUGGGAAACUGCAGGCAUUUCAUGUAGGCGACAAGUCGCAUCCAAGGACCGAGGAAAUCUUCAAUGAGCUUCAGAGAUUGGAGAAAAGGUUGAACGAGAUUGGGUUUGUCCCUCAUACAGAUUCUGUUCUGCAUGAUCUGAAUUAUGAAGAGAAGGAGGAGAAUCUUUGUGUUCAUAGUGAGAGGAUUGCAAUUGCUUAUGGGCUAAUUAGUACUGCUCCUGGAACGACGCUUAGAAUCAUAAAGAAUCUUAGAGCAUGUAUAAACUGUCAUGCAGCAAUAAAGCUUAUAUCAAAGCUUGUUCAAAGAGAGAUCAUUGUAAGGGAUUCAAAUAGGUUUCAUCAUUUUAAGGAUGGUUUGUGUUCAUGUGGAGACUAUUGGUGAGAGAGAUGAAGUGAUUUAUGAAUGGCUCAACCUCAAGACACCAUAGAGAAGAUAAAGAGAAAGAGAACGUUUGUUGUACGUUUUCAGAAUUCUAAAGUAGUAAUUGUUUUCAGGCUUCAAGGCAUAAAAUUCUGACAUGGAUUCAGAACCCAAGUGAUCCCUUUGUCUUUUUCGGCUUUCUCUUCUAUGUUUAGUUGGGAACAUCUCAUACUCUUUUGUUUGAAGCAGAGACCCUUAUUAUGUGCCUAGUUAUGAGUGACUUAUGGCGUUCCCCGCCAGUGGACUAUAUGACAAAGAUAUCCAAAUCCCUGACUCGUACCAUUUUAAAUCUCCUCCUAGUUCACAUACUCAUGAGCCAACUGAGAAGAGGAGUACAAGAUUUCAAGUUUGGUCAGUAUGGGCAAAACCAGGAUAAUGUGCUUCGGUGAUCUUGGUUUUCUUCGCCACCUCUUUUGAAAGGCUGUGCCUAAAAUUGCCCAUUCGACAGCCGAGCCUAGAAUUUUCUAUGCUCGAGUUCAUGAGUUUGAGGAAAUUCAUAUACCAUUUUGUGACUUUUAUAGCGAUUCUAUUGAUAACUCAGAGAGCUGUGAGAUUUGCAGUCUCAAGAAUUAUAAUGAAUUCUGGAAGAAAGCAAAAGAAUUAAAGGAUAAAGAAGCAGAUAAAGCAAAGGCAAUUCAUAACUAUGGAUAUUUUCUCCAUCCAAUUAAUUUUAGUAGCAUGUACCAAUCUUCCCAUGGAGACAAAUAAAUGAUGAACAGUGAAUCGGAUGGAAGGUGAAAGAGAUCUAGGAUGCCUGGUCCAGUAGUCCCUAGAAAAGUAUGAAAGACAUUACAACAAUGAUAUGUUUGGUAGUAACAAUUCUAAAAAAUACUUUGUAUUAAGUAUCUUAUACACUUUUUACUAUAAUAAUGAUAGGUUUAGAUAGUUAUAGGUGGUUUUAAAUUGUGAUUACAGUUUGUCACGGAGAGAAAGAAAAUGCAGCUGAUGUUGUCACAUGAAUUCAAUUGGAAUGGUGUUUAUGGUGAUGGAAUUCUUUGAAAUUUGUUUUUUUCUUGGUUGGUUGUUUGAAUUUCUAUGAGGCUUUGGAUUUUGGUGAUGGGUUCAAUGGUUUGAAUUAACUGUUAGAAUUUGAAAUCCAAUACUUACACGGAGAUUGUUUGAAA
Molecule: non-coding RNA, 4883 nt
Organism: Arachis ipaensis
Lineage: Eukaryota; Viridiplantae; Streptophyta; Magnoliopsida; Fabales; Fabaceae
Source: RefSeq, a predicted model, not a curated record